RNAcentral lists this long non-coding RNA (615 nucleotides) under Ananas comosus (pineapple). RNAcentral's name for it is "long non-coding RNA (ACOM_LNC017893)". The record is from RNAcentral. Lineage: Eukaryota; Viridiplantae; Streptophyta; Magnoliopsida; Poales; Bromeliaceae.
CUCAAAAAACAAAAAAAGAACCAAAAAAAAGAAAUCCAUUCUCCACUACUGCAUACGAUUAUCUAUUACUCUUUAUGAAUCCCCAAUGUUUUAAGCUGAUGUGUCAUAACCUCCUAAUUUUAAAAUUUUUUUUUAUUUAGAAUGAGUCAUUUUAUUCUCCUCUCAACAUAUGUCUCUUCAUUUUUUUCAUUUAAUUUUUAUUUAGAAUGAGUCAUUUUAUUCUCUCCCUCUCUCUCAAUAUAUGUCUCCUCAUCUCCCCCAUUCAAUGUCUCCUCAUCUCCCCCAUUCAAUUUUUAUUUAGAAUGAGACAUUUUACUCUCUCUCUCUCUCUCAACAUAAGUCUCCUCAUCUCCUCCUUUUUUUUCUCUCUCUCAACAUACGUCUCUUCAUCUCUUCCAUUUAAUUUUUAUUUAGAAUGAGUUAUUUUACUUUCUCUCUCUCCAUCGUUGGGUUCACAUCUACUGCCUACAGUGAGAGACUUUCGGUAGAUAUACCAAGUGAGAUACACAAAAAAAUAUUUAAUAUUUUAUUAUUAUUAAUUACUAUUACAGUUUCUACCCGCUGUAAAGCGCGGGACUCUUCACUAGUAUAAAAGAUUAAGGAAUAAUUGCCAAA